This 497-nucleotide ribosomal RNA is filed under the name uncultured bacterium. Its description in RNAcentral is "partial 16S ribosomal RNA". It matches the Rfam family "Bacterial small subunit ribosomal RNA", at positions 28 to 507 of the family's 1533-position model. The record is from RNAcentral.
GACGAACGCUGGCGGCGUGCCUAAUACAUGCAAGUUGAGCGAUGAAGAUUGGUGCUUGCACCAAUUUGAAGAGCAGCGAACGGGUGAGUAACGCGUGGGGAAUCUGCCUUUGAGCGGGGGACAACAUUUGGAAACGAAUGCUAAUACCGCAUAAUAACUUUAAACAUAAGUUUUAAGUUUGAAAGAUGCAAUUGCAUCACUCAAAGAUGAUCCCGCGUUGUAUUAGCUAGUUGGUGAGGUAAAGGCUCACCAAGGCGAUGAUACAUAGCCGUCCUGAGAGGGUGAUCGGCCACAUUGGGACUGAGACACGGCCCAAACUCCUACGGGAGGCAGCAGUAGGGAAUCUUCGGCAAUGGACGAAAGUCUGACCGAGCAACGCCGCGUGAGUGAAGAAGGUUUUCGGAUCGUAAAACUCUGUUGGUAGAGAAGAACGUUGGUGAGAGUGGAAAGCUCAUCAAGUGACGGUAACUACCCAGAAAGGGACGGCUAACUACGUG